This 468-nucleotide ribosomal RNA is filed under the name uncultured bacterium. RNAcentral's name for it is "partial 16S ribosomal RNA". It matches the Rfam family "Bacterial small subunit ribosomal RNA", at positions 28 to 507 of the family's 1533-position model. The record is from RNAcentral.
GACGAACGCUGGCGGCGUGCUUAACACAUGCAAGUCGAACGGAAAGGCCCUGCUUUUGUGGGGUGCUCGAGUGGCGAACGGGUGAGUAACACGUGAGUAACCUGCCCUUGACUUUGGGAUAACUUCAGGAAACUGGGGCUAAUACCGGAUAGGAGCUCCUGCUGCAUGGUGGGGGUUGGAAAGUUUCGGCGGUUGGGGAUGGACUCGCGGCUUAUCAGCUUGUUGGUGGGGUAGUGGCUUACCAAGGCUUUGACGGGUAGCCGGCCUGAGAGGGUGUCCGGCCACAUUGGGACUGAGGUACGGCCCAGACUCCUACGGGAGGCAGCAGUGGGGAAUAUUGCACAAUGGGCGGAAGCCUGAUGCAGCAACGCCGCGUGCGGGAUGACGGCCUUCGGGUUGUAAACCGCUUUCGCCUGUGACGAAGCGUGAGUGACGGUAAUGGGUAAAGAAGCACCGGCUAACUACGUG